This 484-nucleotide ribosomal RNA is filed under the name uncultured bacterium. Its description in RNAcentral is "partial 16S ribosomal RNA". It matches the Rfam family "Bacterial small subunit ribosomal RNA", at positions 30 to 507 of the family's 1533-position model. The record is from RNAcentral.
AUUGAACGCUGGCGGCAGGCCUAACACAUGCAAGUCGAGCGGAUGAAGGGAGCCUGCUCCUGGAUUCAGCGGCGGACGGGUGAGUAAUGCCUAGGAAUCUGCCUGGUAGUGGGGGAUAACGUCCGGAAACGGGCGCUAAUACCGCAUACGUCCUGAGGGAGAAAGUGGGGGAUCUUCGGACCUCACGCUAUCAGAUGAGCCUAGGUCGGAUUAGCUAGUUGGUGGGGUAAAGGCCUACCAAGGCGACGAUCCGUAACUGGUCUGAGAGGAUGAUCAGUCACACUGGAACUGAGACACGGUCCAGACUCCUACGGGAGGCAGCAGUGGGGAAUAUUGGACAAUGGGCGAAAGCCUGAUCCAGCCAUGCCGCAUGUGUGAAGAAGGUCUUCGGAUUGUAAAGCACUUUAAGUUGGGAGGAAGGGCAGUAAGUUAAUACCUUGCUGCUUUGACGUUACCAACAGAAUAAGCACCGGCUAACUUCGUG